This 370-nucleotide ribosomal RNA is filed under the name uncultured fungus. Its description in RNAcentral is "bacterial SSU rRNA". It matches the Rfam family "Eukaryotic small subunit ribosomal RNA", at positions 300 to 657 of the family's 1831-position model. Lineage: Eukaryota; Fungi. The record is from RNAcentral.
GCUAACCCCGCCUGAAAAGGCGCCUACGGUUAAAUCUUAUCGGGAUUGAUCCGCUGGAAUCGUUCUAAACGGUUGGUAAUAAGUGUAGGGUUCUAUUCCGGAGAGGGAGCCUGAGAAACGGUACCACAUCCAAGGAAGGCAGCAGGCGCGCAAAUUACCCAAUCCCGACACGGGGAGGUAGUGACAAUAAAUAACAAUAUAGGGCUCUUUCGGGUCUUAUAAUUGGAAUGAGUACAAUUUAAAUCUCUUAACGAGGAACAAUUGGAGGGCAAGUCUGGUGCCAGCAGCCGGGUAAUUCCAGCUCCCAAUAGCGUAUAUCAAAGUUGUGCAGUUAAAAAGCUCGUAGUUGACUUCAGACUGGUCGAGUGGU